CGAAAGCCGAAAGCAGAGAGAGAGAGAGAGAGAGACCUAAAGUGCCCAAAGAAAUGGAAGAAUCCUCUUGUAGUGAGGUACCCUUUGGCUUUGGUCAUCCCUGCUCUUUGCUGCUCUACAUCGUAAGUGCCUGUGCUCGUUGCUUGGGCUGCUCCGUUUCUUCCGAUGAACCUCAGGAUCCUUCUACAGAAGAAGAGAAUGGCGAUGACUCCAUUGAAGAAGGAGCCGAUGUAAAGACCGGUAUGGCUUCAAGAAGGCCAAGAAGGCCACGCCCAAGUGAAGGUCGAGGAGGCCAGAUUAACUGAGAGUAGCUUUGCUUCUAGCCCCUCAAGUUUCAGGCUUCAUUUUGGACUCCAUCUACACUUUUGUUAACCCUCACCAAGAUCGUCUUGUAUGUCUCCAGUGUGUACAUUUAGCUGGAAAUUGAUCUUGUAUGAUUUAAAUGCUUGUCCUUUAUUCUA
Long non-coding RNA from Musa acuminata AAA Group (dessert banana), 461 nucleotides. RefSeq lists it as uncharacterized. The transcript is spliced from 2 exons. The record is from RefSeq and is a predicted model, not a curated record. NCBI's taxonomy places the organism in Eukaryota, Viridiplantae, Streptophyta, Magnoliopsida, Zingiberales, Musaceae.